Molecule: ribosomal RNA, 250 nt
Filed under: uncultured bacterium
Lineage: Bacteria
Description: partial 16S ribosomal RNA
Rfam family: Bacterial small subunit ribosomal RNA
Source: RNAcentral
UACGUAGGGGGCAAGCGUUGUCCGGAUUUACUGGGCGUAAAGCGCGUGUAGGCGGAGAAGCAAGUCCGGUGUGAAAGCCCCCGGCUCAACCGGGGAAGGUCGCUGGAAACUGCUUUUCUUGAGGACGACAGAGGGAAGUGGAAUUGCUGGUGUAGCGGUGAAAUGCGUAGAGAUCAGCAGGAACACCCGUGGCGAAGGCGGCUUCCCGGGUCGUGCCUGACGCUGAGACGCGAAAGCGUGGGGAGCGAAC